Molecule: long non-coding RNA, 1982 nt
Organism: Corvus hawaiiensis (hawaiian crow)
Lineage: Eukaryota; Metazoa; Chordata; Aves; Passeriformes; Corvidae
Exons: 3
Source: RefSeq, a predicted model, not a curated record
UGCCAUGGAGAAAUGUUGUGGCAAAGGAAGACAUUAAGUCCCAGACACAAUCACAAGGCUGUUUUCCUUGGACUGAGCUUUGAUUUCAGAUUUAUAUGACUCUCAUCAUAGCAAAUGCUCAGAGAGAGGAAUUUCCGACUGGAACACAUUGAAAAUAGAAAGGAAAUAACUCACUAUAAACAGCACUGAGGAGAAACAAGUGAACAUGCAGGGUACCACACAAUCCUUUGUCAGAACGAUAUAAGAAGAGUGAUGGAAAGGACUGGGGAUAAGGACAAGGAAGAAUUGAACAAAAUAAAAAGUUUCCAGCCAUGCUGUCAGGUUUGGUGAAAACAUGCUGAGGAUUAACUGUUUCAGUGCUGUGGGACCUGCAGGGUAAUGGAGGCGAAAGAGAUGGGAAGUUUCCUUGUGCAUCAAACUCAUAAGGCUUUAUGCUGCCAGUCUUGUGGCAGAAUCUCUGUACCCAAAACACUGCUGAAGUGGGGACAACCACAGUCAAGACUUGACAACAAACCAAUACUACACAAAUGUAGUCCUUAAAACAAAUGUUUUAGCCAUAAAUUACCAGUUCCCAUUGGUGGUACUUGACUUUCUGCAACAUAUUUUAUGGAGCCUGAGGUGAGACAAUUCCAACCUGACAUAUUGUGAAUAUAUUACAUCAAAAGAUUUUUCUUCAAAAGGUCUACUUGUUAGAAUUUGAUUGUCAGGUCAGCUUGGACCUGAGCUUAAUACACUGUGCAAUAUGUUUCUCCACAGUCAACGUGCUCCCUAUGUAGAUAGAUACUUCAUCUAGACAAGUCCAGGUUCUUGUAAUCAGAGUUUGAUUCCUCUCCCUGGUCUUUCUGCUUGAAAUUCAAAUAGCAACACUCCUCUCCUUCCUUCUGAUUAAGUAUUUUCAUAACUACUUUUGCACACUGUUUCUCACAUAUUUGUUCCAUGUAUGGAAAAGAACAUAUGGAGCCAGAGGUCUGCAGAGAGGACUGAGCCCUGGGACUGAUGGAGAUAAACUAACUGUAUAAUUUUGUAACUGGAAACAGAAAAGUAAAUCCUUUUAGCUAGAAGUGGAGCAGAGAACUGUCCAUGACAGCCUGAUCACCUUUAUCUCAGAAGCCAAUAAUCUCACACUAUAACUCCUGUCAUUCAUGCUACAACAUUAGAGAGACCAAGGCUUGAUUUAAGAAGUUGCCAUGGCAGAGAAUCCACAAUGUCUCCAGGUAUCACAGAUUAAUUAUCCUCCUUAAAAUAUAAUUGAUUCUAUUAGGAAUGCCUUUAGUUUCCAUUUUCAAGCCACAUAUCAUUAUAUCUUUUUCCUCUAAGACGGAAAAGUUAACUAAUAGUAAAAAACCUCUACACUGUUUAAUGCUUAUAGUCACCUCUUAAGCCAAGCAGAGAGUUAUAUAUAUAGCAGGCCCAGUGAGGAGGAGGAGGAGGAGUUGUAUAUGAUGAGGAUUGUAUAGGAGGCAGCAGGAAUUCAAUAACUGUACCAGAACAUUAACAUUUUUCAUAAUCCAUAAAAAGAUGGAUGCCUUUUAUAGAACUCUGGUACAUGUAUUUUCUUGUUUUAUCAAACAUUUCAAAAAUAUAAAUGAGUGCUGAAUUAUAUUUCUAUAAACUUAGUCAGAAUUUACAUCUUCUCCAGUCUCCUCCCAUACAUUUAAAUCCCCAUCCCACACUUUAAUACUUUCUUUUUCCUGCUUUUUUCCUUUUACCCAUUAUUUUCAUAUUAAGAAGCAAUGAUGGAUCUAGGAGAGCUCUGUGUGACUCACUGAUAAGUCUUUUCCUCUAGAAAAUUGCUCUUGUAAUUGCUCUAAAAGCAAAGCCUCCAGAAGUGAUGACUCAGUGCAGGAGGUCGGACCAAGCAGCACUGCUGAGCAGCAGCAAAAGAUGGAUCUGGGGGGGUCUAACAAUAGCUCUGAGUGCCAGCAGAGUCAAAUUGGCUGAUUAACAGCACACAGGAAAUACAAUAAACACAGGGGUGCCAA